GCAAAUAUAGUUUAACUAAAACAUAAGAUUGUGAAUCUAAAGUUGAAGGUUAAACCUUCUUAUCUGUC
RNAcentral lists this transfer RNA (68 nucleotides) under Monodelphis domestica (gray short-tailed opossum). It matches the Rfam family "tRNA". Rfam says of the family: Transfer RNA (tRNA) molecules are approximately 80 nucleotides in length. Their secondary structure includes four short double-helical elements and three loops (D, anti-codon, and T loops). Lineage: Eukaryota; Metazoa; Chordata; Mammalia; Didelphimorphia; Didelphidae. The record is from Rfam by way of RNAcentral.